RNAcentral lists this long non-coding RNA (628 nucleotides) under Physeter macrocephalus (sperm whale). RNAcentral describes it as "Physeter catodon (sperm whale) lncRNA (ENSPCTG00005001449.1)". The record is from RNAcentral. Lineage: Eukaryota; Metazoa; Chordata; Mammalia; Artiodactyla; Physeteridae.
UACCGCAUUCAUUCCUAUGAAUAGAUUUGAAUUUUUUCUUGCAUGUAUUUGAACUGAGCUUUAUAGAACACUAUGUAGUGUUAUGUAGAAGAACUGCUACUUCUGAUGCUAAUCUUUUACAUCUAAAUAGAAAGACACCGGUUUCUAAAGGCUCUUCGUGUCUUUCCGGUGACUUAUUCUCAAUAAGUGGAUGAUCGCACAGAGCUGACAUCUCAAAAAAGGGCAUCAUUUUCCCGUGAGGAUUUCAGUAGUUGGAACUGGAGAGUGUUAUCCCUCCUGGGAGACACAGGGGCAAGACUGGCCUGGUCGGCAGCCUGGAGAAUCCUGGAUUCCAGCUCACACCUGAAACGGACAAGCAUGUUAUCCGUAGGGGCCAGGAGUAAGAUGCGCCAGGGGUUGAGGCUUGGAAGACUGGAGAAGCUGAGAUCAGACCUCUGCAUCCUGGAGAUGAAGCCAAAUGUUCCGAAGCCCAUUGUGCUUGGAGCUGAACAGAGAGAGAUGUUUAUACAUGAAAAACCCAGCUUGAGAUGGAGAGGCCCCUCUCUGCCAGGCAUGGGAUGGUGAUCUUGUAAGCGGCCAGGUACCCUGGCCCUCCCGCCUCCGAGAGCCCGAAGCUUUUUCCACUCUG